This 460-nucleotide ribosomal RNA is filed under the name uncultured bacterium. RNAcentral's name for it is "partial 16S ribosomal RNA". It matches the Rfam family "Bacterial small subunit ribosomal RNA", at positions 338 to 795 of the family's 1533-position model. The record is from RNAcentral.
CCUACGGGUGGCAGCAGUGAGGAAUAUUGGUCAAUGGGCGUAAGCCUGAACCAGCCAAGUCGCGUGAGGGAUGAAGGUUCUAUGGAUCGUAAACCUCUUUUAUAAGGGAAUAAAGUGUGGGACGUGUCCUGUUUUGUAUGUACCUUAUGAAUAAGGAUCGGCUAACUCCGUGCCAGCAGCCGCGGUAAUACGGAGGAUCCGAGCGUUAUCCGGAUUUAUUGGGUUUAAAGGGUGCGUGGGCGGCCUUUUAAGUCAGCGGUGAAAGUCUGGGGGUCAACCAUAGAAUUGCCGUUGAAACUGGGGGGCUUGAGGGUGUUUGAGGCAGGCGGAAUGCGUGGUGUAGCGGGGAAAUGCCUAGAUAUCACGCAGAACCCCGAUUGCGAAGGCAGCCUUCCAAGCCCUAACUGACGCGGAAGCACGAAAGCGUGGGGAUCAAACAGGAUUAGAUACCCUUGUAGUC